CCCUAUGCCGCAGAUCCUGCACAGCACGGGGAGGGGGCUGCCCUUACGGAGCCUUUGGAGGUGCACCUUGCAGUAGGUGUCCAUGCACCUCCGGCCGCACGUGUUUGCGUGGCCGACCCUUAGCCACCCGCAAUAAUCCUUUCCCCACUUCAUCCUUCGAACGCUCGGUAUACCACAGGACAUACGGAUGUCUAAUUGCAAGUCCUUGGGGGUUCGAACUGCAUCAUUGGAAAAAUGUAGCCAUGAUACUUCAUAACAGCUUCAUUUAUUAGAGUGCGAGCCACAAAGCCCUUAAAAACGUAUGUCAUGAAGUACCAAGCUCAAUUAUCCAAGAUGGCGGCUCGACUCAAACACGGGAUCAGAUCUAAAGUGCUUGGCUGGAAACUUUCAGUAACAACCGAGGGGAAAGCUUCGUAGAUGGAGCCUUAAAGAGUUCGACCGCCUCUGAAACUGUAUUUCGGAAACAGGAGGCUUCUGUGGCAAACAAGGACUGCCAUAGAUCGUAGACCCGUGGCCGGUGAUCGAGCGUUCGAUAAAAAGAACACACGACGGUAUUCGUUCGAAUCCCUCAAUGGCAUCGCCCUAUCAUCGCUGCUUUAGCAGAGAAAUCCCGAGAGAAGUUCGAAGCCAUGAAUAAUUGAACGACCAAACUGGGGGAUUGGGAGCAAUUCAAGCACCACUGAAAGAAGUCGUAACUGCUGGAUCACGCGAACUGAAGUCCUCUGUUUCAGGUUGCCGUUGCUCUGGAAGCUGUGGGAGGGGAGGUACCGUAUUCGGUGCUCCGAAAUUCAAACAAAGAGUAAUGUCCAGUUUGGCUAGCGCUAAUGAAGUUGUUGAGUAGCCCUACCGGUUUCGUCCCCAUAUUGUGACAAGAAAAAGCCACAAAACGUUGUGCAACAACUAAAAGUUUAAAAGAAGGUUGGCACUGAGUCAUAGAAUCGAGCUUUCCAGUCUCCUUUUAUGUUCGUUCGUUAGCCAGUCUGUGGGCAAAAUGCGUCAGGGGCGGGUCUAGCGUUUUGCUUAGAGGGAGGUUUGACCUAUUUCAAUGGAAGAAUACAAAUUAUCUCUUUACAUUGACUUUUUGGUCCCCAAAGAGUCGUAGGUUAUGUUUAUAGAUAAAUUGAACACUAAUAAAAGUGUCUUGGGAGCUCUAAAUCUAUGUUUCUGAGAUUGGGGUUGGAUGUGGUGGGGGUAUACAUUUAAUAGGAAAAUCCUGUAGGGAAUUUUCGAACAUAACAUUUUCCCUUGGCAACCCAAGAGGGGGCUUAGACACCCCCCCCCCCCCUAGAUCUGCUGUUGGACAUACCUUCAUCAGAGCAUUUGAAACGAUAGCUAGCUUCAUUUCCAGUUCCGCCUCGCGGCCAAUGCUUUCUCGUGUCAGGGAGCUGUGGGGCAAGCAAAAUAUAAAUUUGUUUCAUUCAUCAAGGCGGAGAAGGACACAAAUAACCAGACGCACGCACCUUUCACGGCCCGGAGGUCUGCUCGCCUGCGAAUGAGAAAAAAAGCGUUAGAUCUGUUUGUUAUAAGAACCAAACAAACAAUGAGAUAUUUCCAAUAGUACAGAGGGUAGAGACGCGGGUUAAAGAACGGAUUGAUGCUGUCCCCGGCACAAUGACAGUGCUCGACGAACACAAAGAUAAUAAUAAAAUAAAGACAAAUAUCCGAACGAUUAGAGUGCUUGGGAAACCUGUGUCGUAGGUAUAUAUAGGACCUUGAGCUUGGGAUGCCUGUGUGCAACACUUACCGUGUAGGUGUGCAAGGAUGCGAAAACAUAGCUUGGGUUACCUGUGUGCAACGCUUACCGUGUAGGUGUGCAAGGAUGCUAAUAAAUAGCUUGGGAUACCUGUGUGCACCCUUACCGUACGCGCGAAGAUUCGAUCAUCGAAGCUAUGUCGCCGCGGUACGACGGGUAUGUGGAAUUUGUGUGGUCCAUGUGAUCUCCCACGACCUGAAAAAUAUAGGAAAGAUUGCCUUUUUGAGUGGGUGUUAAGCGAACUGUCAUAAUACAGAUAGUCUCCCUAAAAAACGAUAUUCUGGAAAUAUGUCUCACUAAAAAGCGAUAUUCUGGUAUAUGCUGAUAAAAUACAAAAGUUUCACCAAAUUUCAAGAGAUAUCUUUUUAGAAUAAUAAAGUUUUAAAUUUGCAAAUACAGUAUUAGUAGUGGCCACAGACCAAGAACGGAAAAGAUGACAUGCCUCUGACUUGCUUUUGUUACUUGCUGUCGUGUCGGGAAUGUCCAGUAGGCAACGUUAGCCUACAAAGCCGCGGUUUGGUGGGGUCUGCCCCGAGGUAAACAAGUAAAUGUAUGUUUACAUGCUCAUUCGGAGUUCGAGUUCGCUACAUGGCCGCGAGAGACUGGGGCAGAUUAGAUCACAGCAAUUACGUAGUUAUAAAUAUAGAAGAAUGCAUUACAUUGCCAAGGCGCUCUGACUUGCAGUUAUUAGAUGAGAUAAAGCAUUAAGUCAGUUAGUUUACUCAGACAUAAUUAUAGUGAAAACGCUCCUUUAAAUCAGAAAUAUCUAUUAUAUCGCUAAAGAGAAUCCAAUGAGGAAACGGAAGACUCUCGGUCAGUCUAGAUCUUCCCUAUUUAAUAUUGUAACCUUGGUCUGCUACAUUUUCAGGAGUUUUAGAAUAAAAUAUGUUGGCAUGGCUGUUUGGCCCUGGUGGCGAGCUCCUAUACUAACUUGUUUUUCGCUUGGUGCUUCGGGUACUAUACUCAAUUGUCUAGUUUACUUAUUUGUGCGUUGCUUGGCGCCUCGGGUACUAUCCUAACUUGUUUUUCGCUUGGUGCUCUGGGUACUAUACUCAAUUUUCUAGUUUACUUAUUUGUGCGUUGCUUGGCGCUCCGGGCACUAUUCUAAUUCGUUUUUCGCUUGGUGCUUCGGGUACUAUACUCAUUUGUCUAGUUUACUUAUUUGUGCGUUGCUUGGCGCUUCGGACACUAUUCUAACUCGUUUUUCGCUUGGUGCUUCGGGUACUAUACUCAUUUGUCUAGUUUACUUAUUUGUGCGUUGCUUGGCGCUUCGGACACUAUUCUAACUUGUUUUUCACUUGGUGCUUCGGGUACUAUACUCAAUUGUCUAGUUUACUUAUUUGUGCGAUGCUUGGCGCUUCGGGCACUAUUCUUACUUGUGUGUUGCUUGGUAGCAAGCUCUGGGUGACUAUCGACUCGGUGACAACGGCCCGUAGAUACUGAACCGUCGCCUAGCAUUCCAAGAGCAACAACCAAAGCGUGUACAACUCACAGAAGACUUGCCCAUCAGAGGACGCCUCGGCGCCAAUCAAACGAUCUUAUACCGAGUGGCGACCAUUGGUAUUCUAGCAUUUCAGUGCACCACGAAGAGCGAAUUGCGCGCUCUAUAGCCCACCCAUUAUUUGUUUAUUGAGCAAAAAGUGUUUGCUCAUUCAAAGGUGGUAAUCCUUGAAUAAACAGAGCUCACUAGAGGGAUUAGCGAAGCUUAUCAGCCCAGUCACGACAUCCAUCUACAAACUACCCUGCGCUCCAAAUAAAGUAACGGUAGAUGCACGAAGGCGAUAGUAGAUUGGUUCAAUAUCAACGGCAAUAUCAUGGGAUAUUGAUGUAACCAAAACAUGUACGUAAGAUCGUCUUGACUGUGAAAAAAAAGCUGCAAUUAUCAAAAGACAGAACGAAUUUUCAUGUGCUUAAAACAAAAAAAUUCUGUACAGAGAUAAAAACGGAUUACAGUUCGUAGAUUGUAAGUCUAGACUUUGACGCUAUCAAGAAAACAAUAUCCAGCCAGUCUUACUACUGACAUUUUAAAGGUCGUGACCAGGAGCUGUCACACUAUCGCAUGCGAGUGUAAGUUAUUACAUGCGAGUUUGUUACAGCCAGUCUAAGGAGGAAACAUCGAAAACUACAGACGUUACAGCCAGUCUAAGGAGGAAACAUCGAUAACUACAGACGUUAUAAAGGUCGUGAUCAGGAGCCGCCACACUAUCGCAUGCGAGUUAAGUUAUUACAUGCGAGUUUGUUAGGAAACAUCGAUACCUACAGACGUUAUGAAGGUCGUGAUCAGGAGCCGUCACACUAUCGCAUGCGGGAUAUUACACGCGAGCUUAUUACAGGCGAGUGUAUGCGCUAAACGGCUACACUAACUGGCAAACCGUACAAUCGUACAAUGAAAACUGUACAGUGACUUUAUGCUUCUGCUGUGGUGACUUGCUCAAGAAAUAGGAGCGCUAGAAGCUAUAGGAAAAAAAAUGCGACUAGAAAUAAAAGCGACCGAGCAAAGGAAAUUAUUCGAAUAGUUGUUGUAAAUAUCGUUAAUAACUCCAGCAUUCGCUCCUUUACCUUCGGGAAAUCGUGCACGGGAGUCUUUGUUUACUGCGUAUGAUUUCUUCGGCAUCGCGUUUUGUUAGAUCUUUUGGGAAUCUCCCUGUACUGUGACCCUUGCACUCGCUAGCUUGCAGCGAAUUUCUACGGCGAGCUGUUUAUCACUUGCUAGGAACGCCAAACAACGAUAAAAUCCCGGAGAAAGUGUAGGCAAUACGAACCCAGAGAGAAUGGUCUCACUACUCACAACAUGGACUAGCAGUGUCGUGGGAGAAAGGUUUGAGAAGCGCGAUCAACUGGAACUUGACCAAGGCAAGCGCAAACAACCAAUAUUAUACCAUCCGUUAUUUUGUGUUUGAGGUUCCCACGACAUAUGAAGCAUUUCAUGCUCAGAAUGCCUUCACAUGUGCUCGCUGAACGAAAGUAAAACUUUAAAGCUUUGUGGAAAUCUAAAGGAGGUGCGUGAGAACUACGUGACGAGGCAUGUUUGCGUGAAAAUGCUUUCAGACCUUGCGUGACGUGGUCGGUGUGACGAAUACUGGAGCACCACUCUAGUACAGACAGAUAACAAGUGUCACAGACGUGACCACAGCCGCAGAUAAUAGCUAAACGAGAGCAUCAAAGGACAGCGUCUCAAGAUAGACAUCAAGAUAGACGACCCAAUAAACGACAGAACAAUGGAUGAGUCACUGGACAAAAUAGCUCACAGGAAACGCGAGGAAAUAUUUGUGACUGGAGAGUGCAAGGGAAAUACUCGAUACAGAAAUACUCGAGAUGUGAGAGUAAAGUGCUUGUUGAAUACUGUCUCAUCUAAGCCGAACGAUGGUGUUGCUUUCCACAGUCGUCUAUCAACAUCAUAGUGUGUUUUUACAAAUUAAUAAAAAAUCAUAUCUAGGAAAGUACCAAGAUGCACUAUUUGAGCCGUGCUCUAGCAUGUUAUCGGCUCGCACUGCCAAAUUAUUCGACACGAUUCUGUCACUAUUUGUUGCAGCUGUACUACAGCAAAUAGUGACAGAAAUAGUUUGAGCCUUGCCAUAGCAUGGUAUCGGCCCGUACUGUACAACUAUUAAACACGAUUCUGUUA
Long non-coding RNA from Nematostella vectensis (starlet sea anemone), 5378 nucleotides. RefSeq lists it as uncharacterized. Lineage: Eukaryota; Metazoa; Cnidaria; Anthozoa; Actiniaria; Edwardsiidae. The record is from RefSeq and is a predicted model, not a curated record. The transcript has 2 exons.